GCUUCGUCGAACCGCUCCAAGGGAUCAGGACGGAGGCCCGGAGCCCGCCCGUGGGAGUCCCGGCAAGGCGCAGCCGGCAGAGCCCAGAACUGCCAGCCCAGCGUGGGGGGUCGCGGCUUCCGAGGAAAUCGGGCUGGCAGCGGGGAGACGGGGCGGACCCCGACUUCAGGACCUCGGGCCGCUCAUUCCCACCCACUUCGGGGCGACCCCCGCCACUCCUGCCCCGGCCUCACGGACACUGAGAACGCGUCGGCCACGUCCAGGGCCCAGGAAGGUGGCGCCCCGCUCCCAAGCCUGCUACAGGGAACCCGGGACUCGGCCCAAGACGGGGCCUGACAGCGGCUGCGCGGCCGCCGCUCCCUCGAAGCCGAGUGCGCCUCAGAUCCCGCGAGACUGGAGUCUCCGCGCUGCGAACCCCCUCAGUGGCGAGCCCCCCGCGGUCACUGCUCGGACAAUGACCCUUGCAGUCUUCCCUGUCGGGUCCUACUCGUGCGCUGAACCGAGGUCCGCAGGCUUUUCUUCCAGUGGCCCCGCUCCGCCGACAGACCCCCCUGAACCACAGACUCGGCUUUCUGGGUGCACACGUGGCCCUUUAUUCGAAUCCGACUUUCACAGGGCUCCACAUCGUUGUGG
RNAcentral lists this long non-coding RNA (633 nucleotides) under Homo sapiens (human). RNAcentral describes it as "non-protein coding lnc-CBARP-6:2". Lineage: Eukaryota; Metazoa; Chordata; Mammalia; Primates; Hominidae. The record is from RNAcentral.